UGAUGCCUACGGGGGGCAGCAGUGAGGAAUAUUGGUCAAUGGCCGAAGGGCUGAACCAGCCAAGCCGCGUGAAGGAAUAAGGCCCUACGGGUCGUAAACUUCUUUAGUCAGGGAACAAAGGGGGCCACGCGUGGCGCUGUGAGUGUACCUGGAGAAUAAGCAUCGGCUAACUCCGUGCCAGCAGCCGCGGGAAUACGGAGGAUGCGAGCGUUAUCCGGAUUUAUUGGGGUUAAAGGGUGCGUAGGCGGUUUGUCAAGUCAGCGGUAAAAAUUCCGGGCUCAACCCGGUCCCGCCGUUGAAACCGG
Molecule: ribosomal RNA, 305 nt
Filed under: uncultured bacterium
Lineage: Bacteria
Description: bacterial SSU rRNA
Rfam family: Bacterial small subunit ribosomal RNA
Source: RNAcentral